GUGCGCGGGGAUCGCCUCCGGCCAGCGCGUCGCGCCCGCCGGAGCGCUUGAC
RNAcentral lists this small RNA (52 nucleotides) under Albimonas pacifica. RNAcentral describes it as "ffh sRNA". It matches the Rfam family "ffh sRNA". Lineage: Bacteria; Pseudomonadati; Pseudomonadota; Alphaproteobacteria; Rhodobacterales; Paracoccaceae. The record is from Rfam by way of RNAcentral.